RNAcentral lists this unclassified non-coding RNA (200 nucleotides) under Tremella sp. RNAcentral's name for it is "partial internal transcribed spacer 2". The record is from RNAcentral. Lineage: Eukaryota; Fungi; Basidiomycota; Tremellomycetes; Tremellales; Tremellaceae.
UUAAGUUCAGCGGGUAGCCCUACCUGAUUUGAGGUCAGAGUGCAAAGUAAAGGGGGUCUAUGAGCGGGACCACGGCGACGAGUGCUUACAACGUCCGUGCGGCCAUCCGCUAACACAUUUAAGGCCAGCCGGUGAACGGCAAGGGCCCAAAUCCAACGCACCCCGGGUCAGAAAACCCGAGGGGUUGAGUCUACAUGACA